ACACACUCGAGGGCAUCUCUUUCACAGAAAGA
This 32-nucleotide non-coding RNA is filed under the name Homo sapiens (human). Lineage: Eukaryota; Metazoa; Chordata; Mammalia; Primates; Hominidae. The record is from RNAcentral.